Molecule: ribosomal RNA, 249 nt
Filed under: uncultured bacterium
Lineage: Bacteria
Description: partial 16S ribosomal RNA
Rfam family: Bacterial small subunit ribosomal RNA
Source: RNAcentral
AUACGUAGGUGGCAAGCGUUGUCCGGAUUUAUUGGGCGUAAAGCGGGCGCAGGCGGUUUUUUAAGCCUGAUGUGAAAGCCUUCGGCUUAACCGGAGAAGUGCAUCGGAAACUGGGAGACUUGAGUGCAGAAGAGGACAGUGGAACUCCAUGUGUAGCGGUGGAAUGCGUAGAUAUAUGGAAGAACACCAGUGGCGAAGGCGGCUGUCUAGUCUGUAACUGACGCUGAGGCUACGAAAGCAGUGGGUAGC